UCUCCGUAGGUGAACCUGCGGAGGGAUCAAUAAUACAAUUAAAAAAUCAAAAAACUUUAAACUUUUAUAGAUUAUUCAAUCUUAAAAGUUAACUUAUCUUCAAUUAAAAACUUAUUAACGAGUUGGUAUUAACAACUCGAGACAAUGGAUUCCUUGGGUCUC
This 162-nucleotide unclassified non-coding RNA is filed under the name soil metagenome. RNAcentral describes it as "partial contains small subunit ribosomal RNA and internal transcribed spacer 1". The record is from RNAcentral.